AUGAACCCAACUUGGAAUACUUGCCUGAUGAAUUUGGAUAGUGGGCAGGCACUCUUCACAUUCCUUUGGAACAUGAAUAAACUGUUGAAAGCUUUUCUGGUCUUUUUCAUCACAAGGCUCCAUCCAAAGGAAGUACAAAUAAUUUUCCAAAGUUUGAUCAAACCUCUCACCCAUUUUUUUCUGGCAAAAAUUUAUUUUAUUAACAUGUUCUUAAAAUAUUGCAAAAAAUUUCAAGGCAGUCUGCACUGGGAGUCGGGUGGUCACAGUUGAUCUGCCCGAGACUAUUUCUUUCCAGCCUAUUAUCUCUCCUCAGCUCCUGUGGAAUAGUUUCUUGCAGGCUGCCAUUCUUAUGUACCACAAUAUAACGUCACCCACCUAUCUCACCCAAAAUAGAAGCAACAGACAAAAGUGAUACCUGAUAUGCAAAUAAUUUCCUAUCAUCUACACAAAGCCAGUUCCUAAAAUUCUAGACAACAUAAAAUAAACAAAUAUUAAUACAACUUGUCCCACAAUCUCUAUUUGACUUAUGACUGAAGUGAGAAUUGGCAGAAACAUUAUUUUAAAAUCAGCUCAGCUGGUUUGUUGCUCUUUGCAUUUCCUCUGGAUUGUCGACAGGACAUGGGUCCUAUCCAAAACUAUAUUAUAAUGUGGAAAUUUAUUUCCUAUGUUGGAUCCUAACAAUCUCUCUUUUUUUCUGUCUCUAGCUUAAGUCAUAAUAUUUAAUUCUCAUUUUGUGAGUUUCUUUACUAUUUUAUCUAUGGUCCUCAUGUUCUUGGGUUCUCCUAACCACCGGGCUCGUCAAGGUGGUAUAGUUUUUAAUUGCAAGAACUCAUAGUCAUUUCUAGAGACUCUAUUGAGAUGACAGUGCUGGAAACGGAUCCCAAGGAUGGUAAAGAUUCUAAUGGCCUGAGAUGGAGUGAAUGUUGGUUGAAUUUUCUGUUUUUUCAAGAUCUCCCAAGUCUGAAGUGUUCCUGGGUUGCCAGGAAAUGACCUUAUCACCUGUAAGCUGUACUUUGUAAACUAUAGAACAGACAUUUGACUGAUUUCCCGGUAGGGAUUUGUAGGCAUUAAUUCUACAUAUGAAGUGUAAUCUUUAUUCAUUAAUGAUAUGCUUAUUAUACCUGGUUAAAUGAAACUAUGCACUCAUUUCAAUUCAGUUCAUUCACUCAGUUGUGUCCAACUCUUUGCGACCCCAUGAAUCACGGCACGCCAGGCCUCCCUGCCCAUCACCAACUCCCAGAGUUCACCCAAACU
This 1254-nucleotide long non-coding RNA is filed under the name Capra hircus (goat). Its description in RNAcentral is "lncRNA (ENSCHIG00010016042.1)". The record is from RNAcentral. Lineage: Eukaryota; Metazoa; Chordata; Mammalia; Artiodactyla; Bovidae.